AUAGUCCAAUAUUGACAUGCAAUGCUAAUAAGGCAACCCUAGGAAAGAACAAUGGUCACAGGCCAUGACUCAGUUUCCCUGCUCCCUACUGAAUUGGCCAAGAGAUCUUUAUCUCAGAGGAAUGGGCAGGAACAUAGAAAUCUGAACCUGAACUGUAUAAAACUCCCCCAUACAAAGGCAGAGGGGUGGGAAUGUAGAACUUGCCUCAAACCCUGAGGAUUGAUUCUGAGGACCCUGAGACCUCACCCCCAGCAGUAAGUAUGUUUGUAUUCUCUGCUGUAUGUAGCUGCUCUUGUUGCCUGAUCUAUAACAUCCCAAUAAAUCAGCAUGUAGUUUGGAGGAACUUGCUUUGGCUUUUCUUGCACUUUAGGUAAAACAAAAGCCUGUGUAACAAGACAACAUUCCCUUUCACUUCAUUCCAAACAGACGCAUUCUGACCAUCUACUCCUUCACCA
This is a long non-coding RNA of Gavialis gangeticus (Gharial), 455 nucleotides long. RefSeq lists it as uncharacterized. The transcript is spliced from 3 exons. Lineage: Eukaryota; Metazoa; Chordata; Crocodylia; Gavialidae. The record is from RefSeq and is a predicted model, not a curated record.